CAAUAGCAUAUAUUAAAGUUGUUGCAGUUAAAAAGCUCGUAGUUGGAUUUCUGGCAUGAUGCGCCUGGCCCGCCUCAAUUCUGAGUGUGUGUGCGAGUGCGCGUCUGCCAUCCAUUUGCAGAAUGUGCCUACUCUUCAUUGAGCCGGGUACGUGAUGUAAAUCUUUUACUUUGAAAAAUUAGAGUGUUUAAAGCAGGCUUUUGCUGUGAAUACAUUAGCAUGGAAUAAUAAUCUAGGACUUCGGUUCUAUUUUGUUUGGUUUCUUAGUACUGAAGUAAUGAUUGAUAGGGAUAGUUGGGGGUGGCUAGUAUUGGCCGGCCGAGAGGUGAAAUUCUUGGAUUUGUUAAAGUACGGACUACUGCGAAAGCAUUUGUCCAAGGAUGUUUUCUAUUGAUCAAGAACGAAAGUUAAGGGGAGUCGAAGACGAUUAGAUACCAU
RNAcentral lists this ribosomal RNA (438 nucleotides) under uncultured eukaryote. RNAcentral describes it as "bacterial SSU rRNA". It matches the Rfam family "Eukaryotic small subunit ribosomal RNA", at positions 592 to 1018 of the family's 1831-position model. The record is from RNAcentral.